GACGAACGCUGGCGGCGUGCUUAACACAUGCAAGUCGAGCGGAGCGGCGAACGGGUAAGUAACGCGUGAGUAACUGCCCCCCUCUCUGGGAUAACAGGUGGAAACGGCUGCUAAUACCGGAUAGUGGGGGAUGACUCGCGUCCUAUCAGCUUGUGGGUGGGGUAGUGGCGUACCAAGGCGACGACGGGUAGCAGGCCGGAGAGGGAGACCGGCCACAGUGGGCUGAGCUACGGCCCAAACCCCUACGGGCGGCAGUAGUGGGGAAUAUGGCACAAUGGGGGAAACCCUGAUGCAGCAACGCCGCGGUCGGGAUGACGGCCUUCGGGUUGUAAACCGCUGUCAGCCAUGACGCGGUAGUGGCAGAAGAAGCACCGGCUAACUACGUGCCAGCAGCCGCGGUAAUUC
RNAcentral lists this ribosomal RNA (405 nucleotides) under uncultured bacterium. RNAcentral's name for it is "partial 16S ribosomal RNA". It matches the Rfam family "Bacterial small subunit ribosomal RNA", at positions 28 to 526 of the family's 1533-position model. The record is from RNAcentral.